CGGGGGUGGCUGCAGCCACUCCCUUCCUGGGCUGCGGUGCGCCGCCGGGGGCGCUGCCGCUGUGGGCUCGCCCCGCUCUUGCAGGAAAACAGCUGGAGUCGAGAGGGAGCGGCUUUUCGAAAACCUGCUCCGCGAACAAAGCGUAAUGUGCAUGCCGAAUCUUUGGCUUUGGAGGCGUGGCACUGAGAUGGAUCAAAAUGUCUCUCCUUUUGCUUCAAAAUAGUCCACUGGGGAAUGGAGUGUGGACUGGAGAAAGGUGGAAACAAAAAUGUCCCUGUGUUGGUAAGUAGGUUAAGGUAUGCAAAUGAGAAGAAUGGAAUUCUUUGGGAUGAUAUUUUGCUUAAUUAGGAUCAAGG
Long non-coding RNA from Leptonychotes weddellii (Weddell seal), 356 nucleotides. RefSeq lists it as uncharacterized. The record is from RefSeq and is a predicted model, not a curated record. NCBI's taxonomy places the organism in Eukaryota, Metazoa, Chordata, Mammalia, Carnivora, Phocidae.